CCUACGGGGGGCAGCAGUGAGGAAUAUUGGUCAAUGGACGAGAGUCUGAACCAGCCAAGUAGCGUGAAGGAUGACUGCCCUAUGGGUUGUAAACUUCUUUUAUAAAGGAAUAAAACGAGGCACGUGUGCCUUUUUGCAUGUACUUUAUGAAUAAGGAUCGGCUAAAUCCGUGCCAGCAGCCGCGGUAAUACGGAGGAUCCGAGCGUUAGUCGGAUUUAUUGGGUUUAAAGGGAGCGUAGGUGGGUUGUUAAGUCAGUUGUGAAAGUUUGCGGCUCAACCGUAAAACUGCAAUUGAUACUGGCAGUCUUGAGGACAGUUGAGGUAGGCGGAAUGCGUGGUGUAGCGGUGAAAUGCUUAGAUAUCACGAAGAACCCCGAUUGCGAAGGCAGCUUACUAAACUGUGACUGACAUUGAUGCUCGAAAGUGUGGGGAUCAAACAGGAUUAGAUACCCGAGUAGUC
Molecule: ribosomal RNA, 460 nt
Filed under: uncultured bacterium
Lineage: Bacteria
Description: partial 16S ribosomal RNA
Rfam family: Bacterial small subunit ribosomal RNA
Source: RNAcentral